This 373-nucleotide ribosomal RNA is filed under the name uncultured bacterium. RNAcentral's name for it is "bacterial SSU rRNA". It matches the Rfam family "Bacterial small subunit ribosomal RNA", at positions 525 to 896 of the family's 1533-position model. The record is from RNAcentral.
ACGUAGGAGACGAGCGUUGUCCGGAGUUACUGGGCGUAAAGGGUGCGCAGGCGGCCCUACGCGUCGCGAGUGAAAUCUCCCGGCUCAACUGGGAGGGUGGUCGCGAGACGGUAGGGCUUGAGGCUCGGUGAGGGGCGUGGAAUUCCGGGUGGAGCGGUGAAAUGCGUAGAGAUCCGGAGGAACACCAACGGCGAAGGCAGCGCCCUAGACGAGACCUGACGCUCAGGCACGAAAGCUCGGGGAGCGAACAGGAUUAGAUACCCUGGUAGUCCGAGCCGUAAACGAUGUCCACCAGGUGUUGGGGGUAUCGACCCCUCCAGCGCCGCAGCUAACGUGAUGAGUGGACCGCCUGGGGAGUACGGCCGCAAGGUUA